UUUGUAACCGGACAUUUGUCUAUACUUGGCUUGUUUCCCUCUCCAUUUAAACACACACCUGAGAAGAAAUGUGAAGCCAAUCACCCAUCUCCAGCAGCAAAAGCAUUUAUAGAAAACAUUCUAGUACACCUCUACUGGAUAAAUAUGUGAACAUGGAUUUGUAAAAGGUGAAUGACAAAGGACCUGGCAGGCACUACAUGAAUAAGCCAUACAGAACCUCAAGACCCAGCUGUCAGGAGAGGGAAAGAUAGAUGCAGACUGCAGGACUAAACCCCAAGAAGCCAGUGUGUGGAUGCCAGGAACACUUUGGAGGCCUGCCUGAGGAAAAAGGAUCUUCCCUGUCAGUGGAAACCAAAGUUGCAUGGGAUGAGUUCUUCAAGAGCUCAUGUGCUCCUGGAUCCCAGCUUGCACCAUCUUGUCACAUUUUCAGGUCUGGCUCCAGUUUGCUCUUUGUAACAGGUUUCUCUUGUGUCCCUCUGUUCAGGCAGACAGGCUCACAGCACAGUUGGACACCACACACCUCCCCCUUUUUGGGAAAGGAAACUGAAGGGCAGUGUGCUCCCAGGAUGUAUCUACAUUGCAGCUGCUUUAUUAGCUGGCGCUCGGGCUCCUCUGGGCUCAGGGGUCAGAUGCAGCUGCUCCUUGGCUGCACAAAAACCUGUGUCUUUAUGAGGAAGGUGUGUUGUCGUUGGCCAGCUGGGCUGUGUUUCUUGGAUUGCCUCAAAAAUAGUUUUCUGCUUUAA
This 743-nucleotide long non-coding RNA is filed under the name Parus major (Great Tit). Its description in RNAcentral is "lncRNA (ENSPMJG00000016742.1)". The record is from RNAcentral. Lineage: Eukaryota; Metazoa; Chordata; Aves; Passeriformes; Paridae.